GUAAACCUAGGCAGCCCAUAAAUCCGCCGCCUGCCAGAGUAUUACAAGUGAAAAACUUAAAACUCAAAGGACUUGACGGUGUCCCAUAUCAACCUAGAGGAGCCUGUCCCAUAAUCGAUGAUCCACGUUUUACCUUACCUGCCCUUGCAGCCCCGCCUAUAUACCGCCGUCCUCAGCCAACCUUGCAAAAGCACCAACAGUUGGCCUAAUAGUUCCAUACUAAAACGUCAGGUCAAGGUGUAGCUCACGGACAGGCGGAGAUGGGCUACAUUUUCUAUCACAGAAACCACAAACUGCGCCAUGAAAACUGCGCCAGAAGCUGGAUUUAGCAGUAAACCAGACAAGAUAUGUCUGAUUGAACAAUG
This 365-nucleotide ribosomal RNA is filed under the name Hemidactylus bowringii. Its description in RNAcentral is "partial 12S ribosomal RNA". It matches the Rfam family "Bacterial small subunit ribosomal RNA", at positions 801 to 1371 of the family's 1533-position model. Lineage: Eukaryota; Metazoa; Chordata; Lepidosauria; Squamata; Gekkonidae. The record is from RNAcentral.